GGAUGCGAUCAUACCAACACUAAAGCACGAGAUCCUAUCAGAACUUUGAAGUUAAGCGUGCUUGGGCGAGAGUAGUACUAGGAUGGGUGACCUCCUGGGAAGUCCUCGUGUUGCAUUCC
Zea mays is the source of this 119-nucleotide non-coding RNA. The record is from Rfam. NCBI's taxonomy places the organism in Eukaryota, Viridiplantae, Streptophyta, Magnoliopsida, Poales, Poaceae.